This 354-nucleotide unclassified non-coding RNA is filed under the name uncultured soil eukaryote. RNAcentral describes it as "sequence contains 5.8S rRNA gene, ITS2, 28S rRNA gene". The record is from RNAcentral.
AACGCACAUUGCGCUUCUUGGUAUUCCGAGGAGCAUGCUUGUUUGAGAAUCGGUUUCCUCCUCUUUUGUCAAUUCAUUGACAAAGGGAUGUUUGUGCUAUUGAUGUUGAGAAACGUCAUGGCGUGAAAUAGGCGUCGUUUACUUGUUCAUAAUUCAUUUUCAUUGUGCUAAUGAACGAGGGUUGACUGAAUGAUAGUGAAACUUUUUAUGUUUCUUUCAAACCAGUUUUCCAUUUGUUUUGUGCUUUGUCAAUGAUGUCCAAGUGCGAUAACCACCACAUAACCAAAAAAGAGAUGAUGUCGUCUCUUUUAAAAACUAGAUCUCAAAUCAAGCAAGAGUACCCGCUGAACUUAA